GACGAACGCUGGCGGCGUGCUUAACACAUGCAAGUCGAACGAAAAGAGGGAAAGAGCUUGCUCUUUCCGGAAUUGAGUGGCAAACGGGUGAGUAACACGUAAACAACCUGCCUUCAGGAUGGGGACAACAGACGGAAACGACUGCUAAUACCGAAUAAGUUCCAAGGGCCGCAUGGCCCAUGGAAGAAAAGGUGGCCUCUACCUGUAAGCUAUCGCCUGAAGAGGGGUUUGCGUCUGAUUAGCUGGUUGGAGGGGUAACGGCCCACCAAGGCGACGAUCAGUAGCCGGUCUGCGAGGAUGAACGGCCACACUGGAACUGAGACACGGUCCAGACUCCUACGGGAGGCAGCAGUGGGGAAUCUUCCGCAAUGGGCGAAAGCCUGACGGAGCAACGCCGCGUGAGUGAUGACGGCCUUCGGGUUGUAAAACUCUGUGAUCCGGGGCGAAAAGGCAGAGUGCGAAGAACAAACUGCAUUGACGGUACCGGAAAAGCAAGCCACGGCUAACUACGUG
RNAcentral lists this ribosomal RNA (513 nucleotides) under uncultured bacterium. Its description in RNAcentral is "partial 16S ribosomal RNA". It matches the Rfam family "Bacterial small subunit ribosomal RNA", at positions 28 to 507 of the family's 1533-position model. The record is from RNAcentral.